AUUGUGAAUGAUAAACUUUAUGUUGUCUUAACGAGCUACGAAAGCUGCUGCAUUGUGGACGUUUCGUUUUACCGCUCUACGGUUAUGCGACGUCUAACAGGCUUUCUGCUUUUUCUCCAACUGUUUAUUCAACAAGCGUUUGCCAGGAAGUAUCCUUUGAGAAACGUCACCAUUCCAACCGCAUGUCUCGUUUCGCCUUAUCUUGGCAAUGAAUGUCAGCCACCAGCCGAACACUGGUAUUACGACACUGACCUCCGCUCCUGCGAAAUGCUCACGUCUGGGUUGUGCACCUCUAGCAGCAACAGCUUCAAGAACGAAAGCAUAUGCAAGCAAAAAUGCCAUGCGCCUUCUGGACGACCGUCAUCCUUAUGUCUGCACAAACCUGAAUCGCGAGCGUGCUCUAAUAUAUAUCACGCCUGGUACAUCGACGUGCGCAGCCUGGAAUGCAAAGUGUUCAGCUAUGUUUACUGCAAAAAGCACAUAAACUUCUUCAGCUCAGAAAUGAAGUGUCAGGCCGUGUGCUUACCCCAAAAAACUCCAAAGCCCCUUUGCAGCCUGCCACCAGUGUCAGCGUUUUGCGUACACCAGAGAUAUCAUUGGUACUUUAAGGAACAGGGAAACAUCUGCCUGGCUUAUCUGAA
Long non-coding RNA from Rhipicephalus sanguineus (brown dog tick), 641 nucleotides. RefSeq lists it as uncharacterized. Lineage: Eukaryota; Metazoa; Arthropoda; Arachnida; Ixodida; Ixodidae. The transcript has 4 exons. The record is from RefSeq and is a predicted model, not a curated record.